RNAcentral lists this microRNA precursor (191 nucleotides) under Oryza glumipatula. RNAcentral describes it as "MIR812 microRNA precursor family". It matches the Rfam family "MIR812 microRNA precursor family". Lineage: Eukaryota; Viridiplantae; Streptophyta; Magnoliopsida; Poales; Poaceae. The record is from Rfam by way of RNAcentral.
AAAGACUCAAUUUCUAGGUUCUAGUGUUCAUCGUUUGACCAUCCGUCUUAUAUAAAAUUUUUUUAUGAUUAAUAUUUUUAUUAUUGUUAGAUGAUAAAACAUGAAUAAUACUUUAUGCAUGACUUAUCUUUUUAAAUUUUUUCAUACAAACGAUGAAACGUUAGAUACGAAAACACAGGAAUUGAGUUUUU